AAUUUGCCUGGAUGGAUUCUUCUAAUAGUUUCUUUUGUUGCGGUUUGUUUGCUGCGCGGUGGAGUCGUAAUACCUGUUCAUUUUACCAAAGCUUUUUUUUUUUGGGGGUUCAAUCGAACCGACGUUCCCCACAGCUGAGUCCGCCCCUGAGCUGCAAACAUGGGAGAAGGUGGAGAAGAGAAGUCGUUGAAUUUCUUUCAGGUUUUGCGCGGAGCGUCAAUUCCUCUCCUACAUGUCUGCAUUAGUAGUCAUGUACUUCGUUUUGCUGCUCCGCAAUGCAUCCGAUUUUCUUGGUUGCUGAUGGUCACUGGUGUGAGCUAGGAAGGUGCAGGUCCCACGAUAAUGUAGCUGUUUUUUGUUUAUGGAUAGCUUUGUCUUUUCAGAGGGCAGCAUAGCUGGAGGAACCGCUGGUGUUGUGGUGGAAACAGCCCUGUACCCAAUUGAUACAAUAAAAACCAGGCUUCAGGCUGCUCAUGGUGGAAGCCGAAUUGAAUGGAAAGGCUUGGAUUAGCUGGAAAUCUCGCUGGCGUUCUCCCCUAUAACAACACCCCUUGAUGUCAUGAAGACAAGAUUGAUGGUUCAGGGACAAGGAAACCAGUACUCUGGAAUAGUAAGCUGUGCUCAGACAAUCCUGAGGUGAGGAAGGCCCUAGGGGAUUCUUGAAGGUAAAGUAUCACGGAUAUAAACAGCUUCAAUAAUUCUAACUACAAAAAAAUAAACACUAUGUGACCUGAUGUGAACCUGAAGCUUUUGGAUUAGUUGUCGAAUGAGUUCUCGAUUCUGACUUGCCAGCACAGUUCAGUUUAAACUAUGUUUUGGCCUAGCAAAUGAUGCGCAGCCUUAUCUAGUGCGUAUUUUAUGACGUUGGUCCUCU
Phragmites australis (common reed) is the source of this 874-nucleotide long non-coding RNA. RefSeq lists it as uncharacterized. Lineage: Eukaryota; Viridiplantae; Streptophyta; Magnoliopsida; Poales; Poaceae. The transcript is spliced from 4 exons. The record is from RefSeq and is a predicted model, not a curated record.